Molecule: non-coding RNA, 119 nt
Organism: Triticum aestivum (bread wheat)
Lineage: Eukaryota; Viridiplantae; Streptophyta; Magnoliopsida; Poales; Poaceae
Source: Rfam
AGAUGCGAUCAUAGCAGCACUAAAGCACCGGAUCACAUCAGAACUCCGAAGUUAAGUGUGCUUGGGUGAGAGUAGUACUAGGAUAGGUGACCUCCAAGGAAGUCCUCGUGUGUCAUUUC